AGGUUCUCCGGUGUCUCGAGGGCGGCUCAAGUUAGAGUUGUUGGGUUUUGCUCAGAUUGGUGUGGGAAGAGCCUGCCUGUGGGGAGCGGCCACUCCAUACUGCUGAGGCCUCAGGACUGCUGCUCAGCUUGCCCGUUACCUGAAGAGGCGGCGGAGCCGGGCCCCUGACCGGUCACCAUGUGGGCCUUCUCGGAAUUGCCCAUGCCGCUGCUGAUCAAUUUGAUCGUCUCGCUGCUGGGAUUUGUGGCCACAGUCACCCUCAUCCCGGCCUUCCGGGGCCACUUCAUUGCUGCGCGCCUCUGUGGUCAGGACCUCAACAAAACCAGCCGACAGCAGAUGAGCAGUGUAAGGCAUUCCCCCACCAUGAAUUUGUGGCCCUGAUAGGUGCCCUCCUUGCCAUCUGCUGCAUGAUCUUCCUGGGCUUUGCGGAUGAUGUACUGAAUCUGCGCUGGCGCCAUAAACUGCUGCUACCUACAGCUGCCUCACUACCUCUCCUCAUGGUCUAUUUCACCAACUUUGGCAACACGACCAUUGUGGUGCCCAAGCCCUUCCGCCCGAUACUUGGCCUGCAUCUGGACUUGGG
This 583-nucleotide small RNA is filed under the name Pan troglodytes (chimpanzee). RNAcentral describes it as "processed transcript". Lineage: Eukaryota; Metazoa; Chordata; Mammalia; Primates; Hominidae. The record is from RNAcentral.